UCCGCUUCUUGAGGCGUACGUUCAUAAGUGUCCUCAAGAUUAUCCCACAUCUCUUUGGCAGUUUUGUAGUGGGAAAUUUUCCGAUAGUCCUCCUCAUUCAAAGAGCUAUACAAUAUAUUGAUUGCCUUGGUGUUGUAUUCACUUACCAUGGCUUUUCAACCUUGUGUCGUCAUUUGUUCACCAUACUUGAUGAUUUGCCAUAGACGAAAGUUGUUCGAUUGGAUGAAGAUUCUCAUCCGCUCUUUCCAAUAUGUGUAAUUGCUUC
Molecule: long non-coding RNA, 265 nt
Filed under: Nicotiana benthamiana
Lineage: Eukaryota; Viridiplantae; Streptophyta; Magnoliopsida; Solanales; Solanaceae
Description: long non-coding RNA (NBEN_LNC027430)
Source: RNAcentral